AUCCCUUAGUUGUUGCAGGUUGAGCGCUCCAAAAUGCGGUGAUCCGAUGGGCUUUCCAGCUGGCAGCACUUGGGCACCAGGGAGUAAGGCUUUCCCGUGGGACAGGCAAGGAGGCGUGUGCUUCGUCUUCUGGAUGCCCAAGGCGGGCAGUAUCUUUCCACUCCAGCUCUUCUUGGUACAGUUGGAAAAAGUAGAGGAGCUUGCCAGUGCAUAAGCCCUUCCUCGGGUCUGAAGCAGAAACCGUGUGGUUUUGGAGACAAACAUGAGUUGAGAACAGUAGGUUGGAGUUUAGUGCGUUGGUGUGGACCGUAUGCCGGAGGAUGUUGGCCAUUUUGAAAGUACUGGUGGCUGGGAAUCUGCGACUUCCUGUGCCCUAGGGAGUAUCUUAACUUUCUUUUAACUUUCUUUGAAAGAAGCGAGUUUUGGACUUCUUUGGUUAGCUCUGUGGAGCAGCAUCCCGUGGUAACUCAGCAGCUGCACAGCCCCAAGAAAUGCUGUGGGAGAUUUGGGGUUUGGUUCUGACCUACCUCUCUCUCCUCCUUCUUUCCCAUUUUCUUUGAAGCUUACUGUUGUGGGAUUUUCCAGACCAAACCCAUGAGUUUCUUAUCUUUCUUAUCACCAUAAUGUUCUAUUAAUAACUAAUACGUAAGAAACUACUAGUUUCUAUAAACAUGUUUUUGUCUUUUAUAUGAGCAACAGGUGCUUGCUGCUUAUGUAACACUUUGGAAAUCUUGCAAAGGAACAGCAGCUGGCAGUUAACCUGCUAAGUGUCAUUUUAUGAACCUUUUUCUUUUUUUCCCUCUUUUCCCCCCUCCCUGUGCUUUAAUCUUCUUACAAAACUCAGAAAUUUCCUGCUAUCCAAGGGAGAUUAUUGCUUUACAUUUGAACAUGUGUUUGCCUUAUACUAAUCCUUUGCAUUGCAACCAAUUAGUUUCAAACCUGUCCUUCAGAGAUGACCCUAGGUUGUAUGGUUCUGUUAGUUAAAGGAGCUGGUUACGUAGCUUCAGAGUCCUCUGCCUAUCACAAAGUUACAGACAUUUCAAAAUCAAGCCAACGUGAACGAAGUGAUAUCCCUGGCUGCUGCUGCUCUCACGCGCACGCUUUUUUUUUUUUUUUUUUUGCUUGCCUUUUUUUUGGAAGGUGUGGGACAACUCCUACUUUCUGUCAAGUUUUGAUUGGCUUUCAAAAGAGGCAGUGUCCUAUAAAUUGCCAUCUCCACUCUGCUUCUGCACUAUUACCAGCUGAGGGACAGCAUAUUUGAAGAAGGAAGAUGCCAAUUGUCAAAAACGUGAGCAGAGCUGUCGGCCAGCUGCUACAGAGCUCUGGUUGUGGAUGUGGGAUUUCCAUUGUGCCUGUUCGAUGCAUUGGAGUCUCACCUCGCCAGGUGGCCUCCGAUGCUAGCUUUCACUCGGUUUCUUUUUCCGAGUCAGAUCAUCCUCGGGUGCUAAUUACAGGUCAGCAUUCCUGUCAUAACUGUAUUCCUGCUCCAGCUUCUCGGUCAAGUCCCUGACUCCCUUCCUCCCUCCCUGGUGAGCAGAAUACUGGAAGCAAAAAAUACUCAAAAUAUUCCGGAAUUGUGAUGAUCUUUCCCCUAUGGUGA
This is a long non-coding RNA of Buteo japonicus, 1600 nucleotides long. The record is from Ensembl. NCBI's taxonomy places the organism in Eukaryota, Metazoa, Chordata, Aves, Accipitriformes, Accipitridae.